This 253-nucleotide ribosomal RNA is filed under the name uncultured bacterium. Its description in RNAcentral is "partial 16S ribosomal RNA". It matches the Rfam family "Bacterial small subunit ribosomal RNA", at positions 524 to 776 of the family's 1533-position model. The record is from RNAcentral.
UACGUGAGGGGCGAACGUUGUUCGGUGUCACUGGGCUUAAAGGGUGCGUAGGUGGUUGCGUAAGUAAGGUGUGAAAUCCCUCGGCUUAACCGGGGAACUGCGUCUGAUACUGGAUGGCUAGAGUGUGGGAGAGGGAUGCGGAAUUCCAGGUGUAGCGGUGAAAUGCGUAGAUAUCUGGAGGAACACCGGUGGCGAAGGCGGCAUCCUGGACCACGACUGACACUGAAAAGCGAAAGCCAGGGGAGCAAACGGG